This 787-nucleotide ribosomal RNA is filed under the name Staphylococcus sp. V29-PCA-E14. Its description in RNAcentral is "bacterial SSU rRNA". It matches the Rfam family "Bacterial small subunit ribosomal RNA", at positions 56 to 825 of the family's 1533-position model. Lineage: Bacteria; Bacillati; Bacillota; Bacilli; Caryophanales; Staphylococcaceae. The record is from RNAcentral.
UGCAGUCGAGCGAACAGAUGAGAAGCUUGCUUCUCUGAUGUUAGCGGCGGACGGGUGAGUAACACGUGGGUAACCUACCUAUAAGACUGGGAUAACUCCGGGAAACCGGGGCUAAUACCUGAUAAUAUUUUGAACCGCAUGGUUCAAUAGUGAAAGACGGCUUCGGCUGUCACUUAUAGAUGGACCCGCGCCGUAUUAGCUAGUUGGUAAGGUAAUGGCUUACCAAGGCAACGAUACGUAGCCGACCUGAGAGGGUGAUCGGCCACACUGGAACUGAGACACGGUCCAGACUCCUACGGGAGGCAGCAGUAGGGAAUCUUCCGCAAUGGGCGAAAGCCUGACGGAGCAACGCCGCGUGAGUGAUGAAGGUCUUAGGAUCGUAAAACUCUGUUGUUAGGGAAGAACAAAUUUGUUAGUAACUGAACAAGUCUUGACGGUACCUAACCAGAAAGCCACGGCUAACUACGUGCCAGCAGCCGCGGUAAUACGUAGGUGGCAAGCGUUAUCCGGAAUUAUUGGGCGUAAAGCGCGCGUAGGCGGUUUCUUAAGUCUGAUGUGAAAGUCCACGGCUCAACCGUGGAAGGUCAUUGGAAACUGGGGAACUUGAGUGCAGAAGAGGAGAGUGGAAUUCCAUGUGUAGCGGUGAAAUGCGCAGAGAUAUGGAGGAACACCAGUGGCGAAGGCGGCUCUCUGGUCUGUAACUGACGCUGAUGUGCGAAAGCGUGGGGAUCAAACAGGAUUAGAUACCCUGGUAGUCCACGCCGUACACGAUGAGUGCUAAGUGUUA